AGAGUUUGAUCCUGGCUCAGAACGAACGCUGGCGGCGUGGAUAAGACAUGCAAGUCGAACGAGACUUUUCGUUGUAGCAAUACGAUGGAAAGUUUAGUGGCGAACGGGUGCUUAACACGUGGGCAAUCUGUCUUAAAGUGGGGGAUAGCUCGGCGAAAGCCGAAUUAAUACCGCAUGUGAUUAGAGCGGACAUCCAUUCAAAAUCAAAGUCGGGGCAACCUGACGCUUCUAGAGGAGCCCGCGGCCUAUCAGCUAGUUGGUGAGGUAACGGCUCACCAAGGCUUUGACGGGUAGCUGGUCUGAGAGGACGACCAGCCACACUGGGACUGAGACACGGCCCAGACACCUACGGGUGGCAGCAGUCGAGAAUUUUUGGCAAUGGGGGAAACCCUGAUCGAGCGACGCCGCGUGGAGGAUGAAGGUCUUCGGAUUGUAAACUCCUGUCAUUUGGGAACAAUGCUAUUCGGUUAACUGCCGAGUAGUUGAUAGUACCAGAAGAGGAAGAGACGGCUAACUCUGUGCCAGCAGCCGCGGUAAUAC
This 540-nucleotide ribosomal RNA is filed under the name uncultured bacterium. RNAcentral describes it as "bacterial SSU rRNA". It matches the Rfam family "Bacterial small subunit ribosomal RNA", at positions 8 to 526 of the family's 1533-position model. The record is from RNAcentral.